UCGUGUGCAAACAUACUGCAAAAUAAUUACAGUUUUUUCUGUGAUAGCGACUCGUGUCUUGUGUUUGAGAUAGAGUUGUGUGGUGUUUUUGAAAAGUAAACCCGUACUUUUGUAAAAUAGUAAAAAUGGCCGGCAAAAACCGAUAUUGUGAAAUAUGCGGUGUCCGAGAAAUCAAUCGAGGAGGAUUCUUUGCCAGAUUUCCCAAGGAUGAACAGCGGUGUAUAACUUGGGUUAGACAAGCUGGACUGGAAAAGAAGAUCUCGUUCAUUUACCCAUAGAAAAGUUGCAGGAGAUUUGUCACGUUUGUGGCGAUAAUUAUGAACGGAAAGACUUUGGCAAGACAAGAAAUAAGCUAAAUGUCGAGCCAUGCUGUGUCGAAGUUACAAUUGUGUCAAAAUAGGCUAAACGGGGGAUAUUCCUGCAAACCAGAUUCAAAUCAGAUCUACACAUGCCAGAGUACCUCUGUCAACAUCAAACAGUGAAAAUGCACAAACUUCAGCUGCUGCAUCUACGAGUACAGGCCAAGCUUGUCUGCAAUCUGGAAUAAGCAUUCGACCGGAUAAAGCGUCAAUACCAGCGAAACGCCCCCGCUUUGCUGACGAACAAUCUGGCGGAUCUAGGGAUACUCUAGUUCUUGCUUCUGAUAAUCGAAAAACGCAGCGAGCAAAUCAAUAGACUAUAGAUUACAAUACAACGAAGAAAGAAUUGCUGAAGAAGCUCAACCUGAAAUGAAAUCGAGUUUACUUUAUUAACCUUUUGCCUAAGGUAACUUAGGACUUAAACCAGAUAAAUUGUUUUUUAAAUCCAUCUUUAAAACAUGGUAUCAAAGAGAAUUUUAA
Long non-coding RNA from Cydia fagiglandana, 839 nucleotides. RefSeq lists it as uncharacterized. The transcript is spliced from 6 exons. NCBI's taxonomy places the organism in Eukaryota, Metazoa, Arthropoda, Insecta, Lepidoptera, Tortricidae. The record is from RefSeq and is a predicted model, not a curated record.